Molecule: non-coding RNA, 21 nt
Filed under: Caenorhabditis elegans
Lineage: Eukaryota; Metazoa; Nematoda; Chromadorea; Rhabditida; Rhabditidae
Source: RNAcentral
UUUACGUAACUGAAUAAACUC